GACGAACGCUGGCGGCGUGCUUAACACAUGCAAGUCGAACGGAAAGGCCCUGCUUUUGUGGGGUGCUCGAGUGGCGAACGGGUGAGUAACACGUGAGUAACCUGCCCUUGACUUUGGGAUAACUUCAGGAAACUGGGGCUAAUACCGGAUAGGAGCUCCUGCUGCAUGGUGGGGGUUGGUAAGUUUCGGCGGUUGGGGAUGGACUCGCGGCUUAUCAGCUUGUUGGUGGGGUAGUGGCUUACCAAGGCUUUGACGGGUAGCCGGCCUGAGAGGGUGAGCGGCCACACUGGGACUGAGAUAAGGCACAGACUAGUACGGGACGCAGCAGUGGGGAAUAUUACACAAUGGGCGGAAGGCUGGUGCAGCAACGCCGCGUGCGGGAUGACGGCCUGCGGGUUGUGAACCAAUGUCGCCUGUGACGAAGCGUGAGUGACGGUAACGGGUAAAUAAGCACCGGCUAACUACGUG
This 468-nucleotide ribosomal RNA is filed under the name uncultured bacterium. RNAcentral's name for it is "partial 16S ribosomal RNA". It matches the Rfam family "Bacterial small subunit ribosomal RNA", at positions 28 to 507 of the family's 1533-position model. The record is from RNAcentral.